Molecule: non-coding RNA, 228 nt
Organism: Pelobates cultripes (western spadefoot toad)
Lineage: Eukaryota; Metazoa; Chordata; Amphibia; Anura; Pelobatidae
Source: the annotation of a GenBank genome assembly
AAAUAUUUGAUAUUAAAUGAAAGCCCUGUUUCUCCUGAAUAAAAUUAUAUAUAAUAAGGGUGGGUGCAUUUAAUAUGAAAGAGGUGAAUUACGGUUGGACAGACAUGUAGCGCAAAUGCCAGGUUUUGUUUACAUUUUGUUUCGUUCACAACGUGUACAUUUGCCUCCAUCCUUAACCCCUUAAGGACGGAGCCAAAUGUACACGUUGCCAAAUGUACACCGGGUAAG